Molecule: transfer RNA, 77 nt
Filed under: Candidatus Peribacteria bacterium
Lineage: Bacteria; Candidatus Peregrinibacteriota; Candidatus Peribacteria
Description: tRNA-Arg
Rfam family: tRNA
About the family: Transfer RNA (tRNA) molecules are approximately 80 nucleotides in length. Their secondary structure includes four short double-helical elements and three loops (D, anti-codon, and T loops). Further hydrogen bonds mediate the characteristic L-shaped molecular structure. tRNAs have two regions of fundamental functional importance: the anti-codon, which is responsible for specific mRNA codon recognition, and the 3' end, to which the tRNAs corresponding amino acid is attached (by aminoacyl-tRNA synthetases). tRNAs cope with the degeneracy of the genetic code in two manners: having more than one tRNA (with a specific anti-codon) for a particular amino acid; and 'wobble' base-pairing, i.e. permitting non-standard base-pairing at the 3rd anti-codon position.
Source: RNAcentral
AAGGACUUAGCUUAAUUAGAAGAGUGCUUGGUUUCCGAAGCCAAGAAGCGUAAGUGCAAUUCUUACAGUCCUUGCCA